RNAcentral lists this ribosomal RNA (653 nucleotides) under Raoultella sp. Its description in RNAcentral is "bacterial SSU rRNA". It matches the Rfam family "Bacterial small subunit ribosomal RNA", at positions 83 to 729 of the family's 1533-position model. Lineage: Bacteria; Pseudomonadati; Pseudomonadota; Gammaproteobacteria; Enterobacterales; Enterobacteriaceae. The record is from RNAcentral.
UCCGGGUGACGAGCGGCGGACGGGUGAGUAAUGUCUGGGAAACUGCCUGAUGGAGGGGGAUAACUACUGGAAACGGUAGCUAAUACCGCAUAACGUCGCAAGACCAAAGUGGGGGACCUUCGGGCCUCAUGCCAUCAGAUGUGCCCAGAUGGGAUUAGCUAGUAGGUGGGGUAAUGGCUCACCUAGGCGACGAUCCCUAGCUGGUCUGAGAGGAUGACCAGCCACACUGGAACUGAGACACGGUCCAGACUCCUACGGGAGGCAGCAGUGGGGAAUAUUGCACAAUGGGCGCAAGCCUGAUGCAGCCAUGCCGCGUGUAUGAAGAAGGCCUUCGGGUUGUAAAGUACUUUCAGCGAGGAGGAAGGCAUUAAGGUUAAUAACCUUAGUGAUUGACGUUACUCGCAGAAGAAGCACCGGCUAACUCCGUGCCAGCAGCCGCGGUAAUACGGAGGGUGCAAGCGUUAAUCGGAAUUACUGGGCGUAAAGCGCACGCAGGCGGUUUGUUAAGUCAGAUGUGAAAUCCCCGGGCUCAACCUGGGAACUGCAUUUGAAACUGGCAAGCUUGAGUCUUGUAGAGGGGGGGUAGAAUUCCAGGUGUACGCGGUGAAAUGCGUAGAGAUCUGGAGGAAUACCCGGUGGCGAAGGCGGCCCCC